Molecule: unclassified non-coding RNA, 112 nt
Filed under: Chryseobacterium carnipullorum
Lineage: Bacteria; Pseudomonadati; Bacteroidota; Flavobacteriia; Flavobacteriales; Weeksellaceae
Description: Flavo-1 RNA
Source: RNAcentral
AUUUAGCCCUGAUUGAACGGCAUGUUUGAGCUCAUUUUAUUGUAUUAUGCGCGGCGGCUCCGCCGCCGCGCAUAAUACAAUAAAAUAGCGAGUAGAGAAAGCAGGUUCCCGG